Molecule: ribosomal RNA, 253 nt
Filed under: uncultured bacterium
Lineage: Bacteria
Description: partial 16S ribosomal RNA
Rfam family: Bacterial small subunit ribosomal RNA
Source: RNAcentral
UACGUAGGGGGCUAGCGUUGUCCGGAAUCAUUGGGCGUAAAGAGCGUGUAGGCGGUCCGGUAAGUCCGUUGUGAAAGUCAAGGGCUCAACCCUUGAAUGCCGGCGGAUACUGUCGGGCUAGAGUCCGGAAGAGGCAAGUGGAAUUCCCGGUGUAGCGGUGAAAUGCGCAGAUAUCAGGAGGAACACCAAUGGCGAAGGCAGCUCACUGGGACGGUACUGACGCUGAGACGCGAAAGCGUGGGGAGCAAACAGG